GCGACCCUAGGUCAGGCAGGAUUACCUGCUGAGUUUAAGCAUAUCAAUAAGUGGGGGAAAAGAAACUUACAAGGAUUCCCUUAGUAACGGCGUGCAAAUCAGGAACAACCCAGCCUUAGAAUCGGGCAACUUCAUCGUCCGAAUUAUAGUUUUGAGAAGCAUCCUCAGCGGUAGACUGGGCCCAAGUCCCCUGGAAUAGGGCGCCAGAGAAGGUUAGAGCCCCAUUUUGCCCGGACCCUACCGCACAAUGAGGCACUGUGUACGAGUUAGGUUGUUUGGGAAUGCAUCCCAAAUCGGGUAGUGAAUUCUGUCCAAAGCUAAAUACGAGCGACAGACCGAUAGCGAAAAAGUACCGUGAGGGAAAGAUGAAAAGGACUUUUAAAAGAGAGUCAAAGAGUUCUUGAAAUUAUCGGGAGGGAAGCGGAUGGGGACCGGCGAUGCACCCCAGUUGGAUAUGGAAUGGGGACGAGCCGGUUCGUCGAUCGACUAGGGGCACGGACCAGCGUGGAUUGGGGGGCAUCCAAAGCUCGGGCUCUUGAUACGCUCGUGGAACGCUGUCCUAUCGAUUGUGGCAGGCAGCUCCGGCAUGCUUCGACAUCUGCGAGCUAUGGAUUCUGGCCUGUAGGAUCCCCCAUUCAACCCGUCUUGAAAAAUGGACCAAGGAGUUUGACAUGUGUGUGAGUCAACGGGCGAGUAAACCCGUAAGGCGUAAGGAAACUAAUUGGUGGUAUCCCCCCAAGGGGUGCACCACCGACUGACCUUGAUCUUCAGAGAAGGGUUUGAGUGUGAGCAUACCUGUUGGGACCACAAAAAUAGUGAACUAUGCCUGAGCGGGGCGAAGCCAGAGGAAACUCUGGUGGAGGCCCGCAGCGAUACUGACAUGCAAAUCGUUUGUCUGACUUGGGUGUACGUCUUGCGACUGCUUUGUCGAUCCGUGCCACGGAAUCAAGAGCUCCAAGUAGGCCAUUUUUGGUAAGCAGAACUGGCGAUGCGGGAUGAACCAAAAGCCGGGUUACUGUGCUAAACUGUGCGCUAACCUAGACCCCACAAAGGGUGUUGGUCGAUUAAGACAGCAGGAUGGUGUUCAUGGAAGUAAAAAUCCACCAUGGAGUGUGGAACAACUCACCAGCCGAAUAAACAAGACCCAAAAAUGGAUGGCACUUAAGCGCGUGACCUAUACCCGGCCGUCGGGGAAAGUUCCAUGCCCCGAUGAGUAGGAGGCCAUCGGUGCAGAUAUAGGUGAUAGUAGCAAAUAUUCAAAUGAAAACUUUGAAGGCUGAAGAGGGGAAUGGUUCCGUGUGAAUGGCACUUGCACAUGGGUUAGUCGAUCCUAAGGGUCGGGAAAACCACGACAGAUAGCGUAUUUCACGCGUACUCCGAAAAGAAAUCAGGUUAAAAUUUAUGGACCAGGACGUGGCGGUCAACGACAAUGUUAGGAAGUUUGGAGCCGUCAGCAGGAGCCUCAGGAAGAGUUAUCUUUUUUGUUAAAUAGCCUGCCCACCCUGGAAUCAGCUCAACUGGAGGUAGGGUCCAGAGGCUGGAAGAGCACUGCACAUCUCCUGGUGUCCGAUGCACUUCUGGAAGCCCUUGAAAAUCCAAAUGACCGAAUGUUAUCCACACAUGGUUUUCAUCAUAUCCACAUCAAGUCUCCAAGGGUAACAACCUCUGGUUAAUGGAACAAUGUAGGCAAGGGAAGUCUGCAAAAUGGAUCCGUAACUUCUAGAAAAUGAUUGGCAUUGAGGGCUGGGAAUGGGGGUCCCAGUCCUGAACCCAUCGGCUGUCGGUGGACUACUCGAGCUGUUCUUACAGUAUGAGCGGGUCACCACAUGCCGGUUGGGGGAAAGAUUGGGAACGGUUCCUUCGGGGGCCUUCCCCGCGCGUCAAACAGCCAGCUCAAAACUGGUACGAACAAGGGGAAUCCGACUGUUUAAUUAAAACAAAGGAUUAUGAUGGUCACAACGGAUGUUCAUGCAUUGUCAUUUCUUCCCAGUGCUCUGAAUGUCAAAGUGAAGAAAUUUAACCAAGUGCGGGUAAACGGAAGGAGAACUAUGACUCUCUUAAGGUAGCCAAAUGCCUCGUCAUCUAAUUAGUGAUGCGCAUGAAUGGAUUAACGAGAUUCCCACUAUCCCUGUCUACUAUCUAGCGAAACAAUAGCCAAGGGAAUAGGCUUGGCAGAAUCAGCNCUUUGUGAAAUGACUUGAGAGGUGUAGUAUAAGUGGGAGCCGAAAGGCGAAAGUGAAAUACCACUACUUUUAACAUUAUUUUACUUAUUUUGUGAGUCAAAAGCGGAGCACUGCCCCUCUUUUUGGACCCAAGGGUCGCUCUGCGGGCCGAUCCAGGCGGAAGACAUUGUCAAGUGGGGAGUUUGGCUGGGGCGGCACAUCUGUUAAAAGAUAACGCAGGUGUCCUAAGAUGAGCUCAAAGAGAAUAGAAAUAUCGUGAGGAACAGAAGGGUAAAAGCUCGUUUGAUUCUGAUUUCCAGUACGAAUACGAACCAUCAAAGUGUGGCUUAACGAUUCUUUAGACCUUCAAAAUUCAAAGCUAGAGGUGUCAGAAAAGUGUUACCACGGGGAUAACUAGCCUGUUGCAGCCAAGCGUUUAUAGCGACAUUGCUUUUUCAUUCUUCGAUGUCGUCUCUUCCUAUCAUUAUGAAGCAGAAUUCACCAAGUGUUGUACUGUUCACCCACCAAUAGGGAAUGUUAGCUGGGUUUAGAUUGUCGUGAGACAGGUUAGUUUUACCCUACUUAUGACAGUGUCGUAGUAGUAAUUCAACCUAGUACGAGAGCAAAUGUUGAUUCACAUAAUUUUUCAUCACGCUUGGUUGAAAAGCCAGUGGCAUAAAGCUACCAUGUGCUGGAUUAUGACUGAGCGCCUCUAAGUCAGAAUCUAGGCUAGAAGUGAUGCAUGCGCCCGCUGUCCGCUUGCCGACCCGCAGUAGAGGCCUCAUCCCCCAAGGGCACGUGUCGUUUGCUAAGCCACCGCGGCGGAAGAGUCAUGUUAGACACCUUGAAGUAUAAUUUCCAUCGAUCGGCGGGUAGACU
RNAcentral lists this ribosomal RNA (3041 nucleotides) under Capsicum annuum. Its description in RNAcentral is "eukaryotic LSU rRNA". It matches the Rfam family "Eukaryotic large subunit ribosomal RNA". Lineage: Eukaryota; Viridiplantae; Streptophyta; Magnoliopsida; Solanales; Solanaceae. The record is from RNAcentral.